Molecule: microRNA precursor, 164 nt
Filed under: Prunus dulcis (almond)
Lineage: Eukaryota; Viridiplantae; Streptophyta; Magnoliopsida; Rosales; Rosaceae
Description: sRNA ncRNA
Source: RNAcentral
GAGAGAGAGAGAGAGAGAGAGAGAGAGAGAGAGAACUGAGGAGGGAGAGACACAGAGAGAAACCAAAAAGUGUUUUAAAUCAUUUUUGAAAAUGUGUUUUAAUUUUUAGACCUUCUCUCUCUCUCUCUCUCUCUCUCUCUCUCUCUCUCCCUCCCCCAAUCCUC